AUACGUAGGUGGCGAGCGUUGUCCGGAAUUACUGGGCGUAAAGGGCGCGUAGGCGGCUUUUUAAGUUAGAUGUGAAAACCCGGGGCUUAACUUCGGGCGUGCAUUUAAAACUGGAGAGCUUGAGUGCAGGAGAGGUAAGUGGAAUUCCUAGUGUAGUCGGUGAAAUGCGUAGAUAUUAGGAGGAACACCAGUGGCGAAGGCGACUUACUGGACUGUAACUGACGCUGAGGCGCGAAAGCGUGGGGAGCAAACAGGAUUAGAUACCCUGGUAGUCCACGCUGUAAACGAUGGAUACUAGGUGUGGGAGGUAUCGACCCCUUCCGUGCCGCAGUUAACGCAAUAAGUAUCCCGCCUGGGGAGUACGGCCGCAAGGUUGAA
RNAcentral lists this ribosomal RNA (378 nucleotides) under uncultured bacterium. Its description in RNAcentral is "bacterial SSU rRNA". It matches the Rfam family "Bacterial small subunit ribosomal RNA", at positions 523 to 898 of the family's 1533-position model. The record is from RNAcentral.